RNAcentral lists this ribosomal RNA (301 nucleotides) under uncultured bacterium. RNAcentral describes it as "partial 16S ribosomal RNA". It matches the Rfam family "Bacterial small subunit ribosomal RNA", at positions 509 to 807 of the family's 1533-position model. The record is from RNAcentral.
CAGUCGCCACGGUAAAACGAAGGGUGCAAGCGUUACUCGGAAUUACUGGGCGUAAAGCGUGCGUAGGUGGUGGUUUAAGUCCGUUGUGAAAGCCCUGGGCUCAACCUGGGAAUUGCAGUGGAUACUGGGUCACUAGAGUGUGGUAGAGGAUAGUGGAAUUUCCGGUGUAGCAGUGAAAUGCGUAGAGAUCGGAAGGAACAUCUGUGGCGAAGGCGACUAUCUGGGCCAACACUGACACUGAGGCACGAAAGCGUGGGGAGCAAACAGGAUUAGAUACCCCUGUAGUCCCUGUCUCUUAUAC